This 649-nucleotide long non-coding RNA is filed under the name Rattus norvegicus (Norway rat). Its description in RNAcentral is "long non-coding RNA NONRATT027575". Lineage: Eukaryota; Metazoa; Chordata; Mammalia; Rodentia; Muridae. The record is from RNAcentral.
UGAAAAGGGCGGCAAACAGAGGCGACGGUAUCAUAUUCAGGAACUGCAUAUUCUCCCCUCCACCCCCACCUUAUUUAUCGCUACAUUUCCAGUACUCACCACGGUGCCCAGCACGCGCAGAGCACUCCCUAAAUAUUUGUUAAGUGAAUACAUGCAUGAAACCCAACUCCAGGAAACUAUUUGCCGUCAGACCCCAAAGCCAGGCCUUUGUGAGGAACCAUUAGGAUUCCAACCAUAUGAUCCAGCGAAGCUGUUCCAAAGAACCCACGUCCGUAUGCUGAGCAGCCUCCCGGAUGCACGCCACCAGGUACAAUUGAAUGGACCUGCGGCGGCCCUGCCUGCCAUUCUAGAGAAGGCGGAAGUGAAUUCUCCGCCUUGCUUCCACACACUCACUUCCAGCCAUACUCCCACUGGACAACUGAUGCCACCGGCUUCCAUCAAAUGAAUACAAGAAAAACAAACAAACAAACAAACAAACAAACAACCAUCCAAGGGGCUUCAGCGUGGGAGACUGUUGAAUCUGUGCAAGCGUUAGCAGCCAGGCUGGAUUCCCAGCCCUGCCUUUAAUUGUAGCCUGUGUGCUAUGAUUGGAAUUAAAUGACAUGCCAAAUUAAAGAGUUAUUUUUUCUAAUAAAUAUUUUGCAUAGGA